RNAcentral lists this ribosomal RNA (465 nucleotides) under Vreelandella stevensii. RNAcentral describes it as "partial 16S ribosomal RNA". It matches the Rfam family "Bacterial small subunit ribosomal RNA", at positions 338 to 795 of the family's 1533-position model. Lineage: Bacteria; Pseudomonadati; Pseudomonadota; Gammaproteobacteria; Oceanospirillales; Halomonadaceae. The record is from RNAcentral.
CCUACGGGAGGCAGCAGUGGGGAAUAUUGGACAAUGGGGGCAACCCUGAUCCAGCCAUGCCGCGUGUGUGAAGAAGGCCCUCGGGUUGUAAAGCACUUUCAGUGAGGAAGAACGCCUGGUGGUUAAUACCCAUCAGGAAAGACAUCACUCACAGAAGAAGCACCGGCUAACUCCGUGCCAGCAGCCGCGGUAAUACGGAGGGUGCGAGCGUUAAUCGGAAUUACUGGGCGUAAAGCGCGCGUAGGUGGCUUGAUAAGCCGGUUGUGAAAGCCACGGGCUCAACCUGGGAACGGCAUCCGGAACUGUCAAGCUAGAGUGCAGGAGAGGAAGGUAGAAUUCCCGGUGUAGCGGUGAAAUGCGUAGAGAUCGGGAGGAAUACCAGUGGCGAAGGCGGCCUUCUGGACUGACACUGACACUGAGGUGCGAAAGCGUGGGUAGCAAACAGGAUUAGAUACCCCUGUAGUC